This 72-nucleotide transfer RNA is filed under the name Candidatus Moraniibacteriota bacterium. Its description in RNAcentral is "tRNA-Gln". It matches the Rfam family "tRNA". From Rfam's summary of the family: Transfer RNA (tRNA) molecules are approximately 80 nucleotides in length. Their secondary structure includes four short double-helical elements and three loops (D, anti-codon, and T loops). RNAcentral also lists the same sequence under 1 other name. Lineage: Bacteria; Candidatus Moraniibacteriota. The record is from RNAcentral.
UGGGGAGUAGCCAAGCGGUAAGGCAGGGGCCUUUGAAGCCCCCAUGCGAAGGUUCGAUCCCUUCCUCCCCAG